RNAcentral lists this ribosomal RNA (868 nucleotides) under uncultured archaeon. RNAcentral describes it as "bacterial SSU rRNA". It matches the Rfam family "Archaeal small subunit ribosomal RNA", at positions 1 to 878 of the family's 1478-position model. The record is from RNAcentral.
CUCCGGUUGAUCCUGCCGGACCCGACUGCUAUCAGAGUGGGACUAAGCCAUGCGAGUCAACAUAGCAAUAUGUGGCAUACGGCUCAGUAACACGUAGUCAACAUGCCCAGGGGACGUGGAUAACCUCGGGAAACUGAGGAUAAACCGCGAUAAGUCACUACUUCUGGAAUGGGUAAUGACUCAAAUCUACAUGGCCCCUGGAUUGGACUGCGGCCGAUCAGGCUGUUGGUGAGGUAAUGGCCCACCAAACCUGUAACCGGUACGGGCUCUGAGAGGAGGAGCCCGGAGAUGGGCACUGAGACAAGGGCCCAGGCCCUAUGGGGCGCAGCAGGCGCGAAACCUCUGCAAUAGGCGAAAGCCUGACAGGGUUACUCUGAGUGAUUUCCGUUAAGGAGAUCUUUUGGCACCUCUAAAAAUGGUGCAGAAUAAGGGGUGGGCAAGUCUGGUGUCAGCCGCCGCGGUAAUACCAGCACCCCGAGUGGUCGGGACGUUUAUUGGGCCUAAAGCAUCCGUAGCCGGUUCUACAAGUCUUCCGUUAAAUCCACCUGCUUAACAGAUGGGCUGCGGAAGAUACUAUAGAGCUAGGAGGCGGGAGAGGCAAGCGGUACUCGAUGGGUAGGGGUAAAAUCCGUUGAUCCAUUGAAGACCACCAGUGGCGAAGGCGGCUUGCCAGAACGCGCUCGACGGUGAGGGAUGAAAGCUGGGGGAGCAAACCGGAUUAGAUACCCGGGUAGUCCCAGCUGUAAACGAUGCAGACUCGGUGAUGAGUUGGCUUCUUGCCAACUCAGUGCCGCAGGGAAGCCGUUAAGUUUGCCGCCUGGGGAGUACGGUCGCAAGACUGAAACUUAAAGGAAAUGGCGGGGGAGCA